GGAUUUGGAGAGCAGAAGGGAAGCAGCAGCCACUUUGUAGCUCACCUGUUGACUCACUUGGUGUGAGCCAGCAGCUGAGUGAAAUGGUUCUAUCUUCCCCUAGAUCCUCUUUAGCUUCUCCAACUCCUGGGCCAGCUGGGUAUAUGCUUUGCUUUGCAGCAAAGGGUUUCAGCUUCCGCAGGAUUCCUGCAUCACCAAGUGGGACGCUGCGAGACCUUACACAAGUUUCAGUUCAUCCUCGUGAGCUCCAGCUUAUACUUAAGGGUUCCUGCUUGCUCUUACUCUACCCACUUUGUAUUAGUUUUCCCUUCUAUAUUCUUGUGCUGUGGACUUCAAGCUCCGGUAUCAGGUCUGAAGACAGCAACCUUAAAAAUGUUGGUUAAUGAGCUCCCACAACCGAAUACAAAGAGAGAGAGAGAUUUCUAUAAGAAAAGAAAAGAAGAUUUCUAUAAACUGAAAUGAUCUGAGAAUGGUUCAUCACAAAGGGCUGAAGAGACAACAGGAGCAGGUCACAGAACAAGAGUAAAAGAAGCUGUGCGUUCAGCAGGAGCUAGAACUCUGGAUAGAAAGGUAUCCAACAGGAUCUGGAAUCUUGGAGAAGCCGCAACCACACAUAGAGGUGCUUUCUGAAAUAGCAACUCCAUCUAGCAAUUCAAUUGGCCAAAUCAACUUGGAAGAGUCAGCUUGGCAAUUGAGCCUAUGAAAUACAACUGCAGUAUCCAGCCUAUCUGAGAUACAGAAUAAAGAAAUACUGAGGAGUAUAUCUGAGAGAAAAGAGACAAAUGACCUGAUCAGUUCACAUUUUAAAAAUCUUUCUGUAUCCAUUUCACCACUGUACUUUAACUCCCAAACGAUACAUCAUUCUUUGCCUAAUUUGAUGCAACUAUAUUUCAUGACACACAACUACUCUUCCUCUUUCCCCAAAGUCUCAUCAGUUACUGCAUUAAUUUCAAUAGUCCUCAAUCUCCAGGUGAUAUGAAGGCUUCCCCGUCAGAGCCACGUGUAGCUUCUUGUGGUCUUGUGACAUAUGGACUAAACUAUAAAUUUAAACAUCACUCAUACUCUUCACACAACAAAACAGGACAAAAGGAAGAUGGAAGAAUAUAAUUCAUUACUAUACACAGGUUAAUGUAUACAGGUCUAUAGAAUCCCUUUCUCUCUCUUUCACACACACACACACAAAUAUGUAAAACUGCAGCAUUCCUCAUUUCCUCAUUUGUAUAAGUGGCUUUAAGGCUGUAGUGUUUUUGUCACUUCCUUUUCCUACCACUCAUUACAAGCCUCCUGUGCCCUAAGCCAGCACCUCAGUUGAUCACUUUUGUUUUUAAGCUCAUGAGAGUUAAAUUCAUUCUUAAAGGUCUACGUAUUUAGUAACCCGGGUUUUAUUGAAUUGAUGUACUUUUUACUCAGUGUUUGCUCCUGGACAUGACAGUAAUCAGGAGAGCCCCAGUGAAUCCUCUGGGUUGCACCUGUAGACCCCCAAUUGCAUUAGAGUAACAGCAACCCAAUUUCUCACUGAUAAUUGGAAUUAGUCAUCCCAACCAGGACGGACUGUGUUUUCAGCCUAUUGAACACCAGAGAAAUAGUGUAAAUACCUGAGAAAUGUAGGCUUGCGGUAAGAAUUUAUGGAAUCAUUCAAAAAACAAUGAAAGUUUCUAGCAAUGUGUGGGAGACUUUUGUUAGAACUGCUGUUGCUUAAGUGUGCAUAAUGACUCUGACAUUUAGAAUUAACCUUGAAAUUUCCUGACUUUGAAUUCCUUAUUAUUAAACCUUUAGUGUUGGUCUAGCAUAUCUUUCAUUUUGGAGGCAGUUAAAGCAGACAAAAAUUGUGUAAACAGAUAAAUAUUUUUCUUCAAAAAACAAAAGAUGAAAAUCUCUAGAGAUUUAGGAGAACUCUGUUAGCUGUGAAAAGCAUGGCUUGUGCAAACCUUAAUUGGUCCCUUUUAUUGACAGCCAUACGAAUUGCGUUAGCUUUAACUGUUGGCAUUAGCUGCAGCUCUCCUAAUUAUGUCUGCUUAAAAGUCACAGAGAGGAAUAUACUGGAUUCCAUCAGAAACAAGUCACUUAAAUAAAGACCAAAGAAAUGUCAUAAUUAAAUACACAUAAACCACUCAAACUGUCAAGGUAUGGUGAUUUUUGAUUCCAAAAAUUUUAGAAGUUAGUUUACAAAGAAUAAAAUUCAGUAUGAUUGCUUUUAAGUAAAAAUGGCUAUGUCUUUUUUUUCUUUCUUGGUAAAAAGCAAAAAGCAGAAUUUGAGAAAAGAGGCAUAUUGACAUUGAUGGGCUUCCUAGAAUUUUUGAGGAAAAUGGAUUUUUCAUUAGGUGAAUUACAUUUUAAAUGCCUUAGGGUGAGAGAAUUAUGCUUAACAAAUGCUUAAUCAAAGAAAAUCUCUCUAAUAUAAAUAACCGUUUCUUAAUGUUUUGUAAACUUUUUUUACAUGAAUUUUUCAUGAACUGAAAAAUACUAGUAAUCUGUAUAUUCUAAUUUAUAUGUGAUUUAGUUUUUACAUAUCAACCUUAAGGUUGCUUUCUAUUCCUCUUGAAUAUUCCUGUAUGUCUAGUGAACUCACAUGAGAUUGAAAUAAUGACCUUUAAUUAAGAGAUAAAAGGGUGCAUUUCCUAAAACAAAAACAUGGGGCAGAAUUAUUGAUUUGUUUGCCACCAGCUCAGCACAUUGGUUGAUGGUAUUGAUUACAGAAAUACUAACAAAUAAUGGGGCCAUAAAAAAAUUCUGCUGUCUAUUGCUGUAAUAUCAGUAUCAGGAGAUGCUGAAAACAGACAAACUGCCUUCAGGUCAUUUGAAAAUUACAACAAUCAUAUAUAUUUCGUCAGUGUUUUAUAGUAUAGCUGGGUUUUGUUUCUGGGUUUUUUCUUACUUUGUUCUUCAAUUUAAAAAUACAUUUCACAUUAGGAUAGUUGCAAUUUGUCUGAAACAUAUAGGCUUUAAGUACCAACGACUUAGAAUUUUGCUGCUACCAGAAAGAAUGAAAAUAUUAAUUUGAAAUAGCACUGCUUGAUUUCGUAAUGAUCUGUUGUUCUCUGCUGCUAAUUACAGAUUCCAGUAGGGGAAAAACUAUAAAAUGCAAACUUCUCCCCACUGCUCUCAGAUAUUCAUGAGUUUCAUUUUACUUCAUAAAUUUUAUAAAGUAGAAGACAAUGGUGCUAUAAAAACAGAUCUUGCAAAACCCUCAAUGUUAUACUGAAAUGCAAAAAAAAGAAAUUAAAAAACCCAAAUUUUGGACUGAGUAUGGAGAACCUAAAUGCAUUCCUAUAUCUAGACACGUUUUAUGUGAAGUCUUAUUCCAGGACUUGACCUCUCACGUUUCAGCUUUCUCCUUGUAAAAUGAAAGGUGUGACUUUAAAAGACUUCUGGGGAGAGUGUGUGUUUUAGUCAUCAGUGAAGAGAAAAUGCCCUUUGGAUUUAAAUAAACUUAGUUGAGUUUCUUCCUCUAUCACUUAGCAGCCUUUAUGGACUUCCGCUUAAUCUUGGGAAAGUUACAUUUUUCUAAGCCUCAGUUUGCUGUAUCUGUAACAAAGAGAUUUAAUUA
This 3547-nucleotide long non-coding RNA is filed under the name Equus caballus (horse). RNAcentral's name for it is "lncRNA (ENSECAG00000054731.1)". Lineage: Eukaryota; Metazoa; Chordata; Mammalia; Perissodactyla; Equidae. The record is from RNAcentral.